This 207-nucleotide ribosomal RNA is filed under the name Alexandrium tamarense. RNAcentral describes it as "partial Bacterial large subunit ribosomal RNA". It matches the Rfam family "Bacterial large subunit ribosomal RNA", at positions 657 to 863 of the family's 2925-position model. Lineage: Eukaryota; Dinophyceae; Gonyaulacales; Pyrocystaceae. The record is from RNAcentral.
UAAGCGAAGCCGAAGCGAAAGCGAGUCUGAAUAGGGCGUUUAGUUGUUGGAGGUAGACCCGAAACCGAGUGAUCUAUCCAUGGCCAGGUUGAAGCGCGAGUAAGAUCGCGUGGAGGACCGAACCCACCAAAGUUGAAAAUUUGGGGGAUGAGCUGUGGAUAGGGGUGAAAGGCCAAUCAAACUUGGAUAUAGCUGGUUUUCCGCGAA